AUGCUCACUUUGGCAGCAUAUAUACUAAAAACUGGAACAAUACAAAGAUUAGCAUGGCCCCUGGGCAAAGAUGGCAUGCAAAUUCAUGAAGCAUUCCAUAUUUUU
Molecule: small nuclear RNA, 105 nt
Organism: Callithrix jacchus (white-tufted-ear marmoset)
Lineage: Eukaryota; Metazoa; Chordata; Mammalia; Primates; Cebidae
Source: Ensembl